AUCCAGCUGAGGAAUCCGAGAUAGGAUGAAACAUGCGUCCUGUAU
RNAcentral lists this non-coding RNA (45 nucleotides) under Schistosoma mattheei. The record is from RNAcentral. Lineage: Eukaryota; Metazoa; Platyhelminthes; Trematoda; Strigeidida; Schistosomatidae.